AUUGAACGCUGGCGGCAGGCCUAACACAUGCAAGUCGAGCGAGAAAGGUCUUCGGGCUGAGUACAGCGGCGGACGGGUGAGUAACGCGUAGGAAUCUACCUGGUAGUGGGGGACAACAUGGUGAAAACCAUGCUAAUACCGCAUACGCCCUAUGGGGGAAAGCGGGGGACCUUCGGGCCUCGCGCUAUCAGAUGAGCCUGCGUAGGAUUAGCUUGUUGGUGAGGUAAAGGCUCACCAAGGCGACGAUCCUUAGCUGGUCUGAGAGGAUGAUCAGCCACACUGGAACUGAGACACGGUCCAGACUCCUACGGGAGGCAGCAGUGGGGAAUAUUGCGCAAUGGGCGAAAGCCUGACGCAGCCAUGCCGCGUGAGCGAUGAAGGCCUUAGGGUUGUAAAGCUCUUUCAGUGGGGAAGAUAAUGACUGUACCCACAGAAGAAGCCCCGGCUAACUCCGUG
This 456-nucleotide ribosomal RNA is filed under the name uncultured bacterium. RNAcentral's name for it is "bacterial SSU rRNA". It matches the Rfam family "Bacterial small subunit ribosomal RNA", at positions 30 to 507 of the family's 1533-position model. The record is from RNAcentral.